UUACGGCCAUAUCACGUGGAAACACCGGUUCCCGUACGAUCACCGAAGUUAAACAACGCCGAGCCUGGCCAUGUACCUUGAUGGAUGACCGCUUGAGAAUGCCAGGAGCUGUAAG
Molecule: non-coding RNA, 115 nt
Organism: Acanthosepion pharaonis
Lineage: Eukaryota; Metazoa; Mollusca; Cephalopoda; Sepiida; Sepiidae
Source: the annotation of a GenBank genome assembly